This 140-nucleotide ribosomal RNA is filed under the name uncultured eukaryote. RNAcentral's name for it is "partial 18S ribosomal RNA". It matches the Rfam family "Eukaryotic small subunit ribosomal RNA", at positions 1299 to 1458 of the family's 1831-position model. The record is from RNAcentral.
UGGUGGAGUGAUUUGUCUGGUUAAUUCCGUUAACGAACGAGACCACAGCCUACUAAAUAGCGUUGUGAAUGGUGACAUUCAUGAUGAGCUUCUUAGAGGGACAUUUCGGGUUUACCGGAAGGAAGUUUGUGGCAAUAACA